GACAAACGCUGGCGGCGUGCUUAAUACAUGCAAGUCGAACGAGAAGGCACUACCUUUGUGCGGUCCUGGAGUGGCGAACUGGUUAGUCACCCGUGCGUAACCGGCUCUCGCCUUUGGGGUAACUUCAGUAAACUAGAGCUCAUCCCUGAUAUGAGCUCCUGCUGCAUGGGGGGGGUUUCGCAGUUUCGGCGGUUGGGGAUUGACUCGCGGCGUUUCUGCGUGAUGGGGGGGUAGAGGCUUACAAAGGUUUUGACUGGUAGCCGGACUGAGAGGGUGACCGGAGACAUUGGGACUGAGAUACGGCCCAGAGUCCUACGGGAGACAGAAGUGGGGAGAAUUGCAGAAUGGGCGGAAGACUGAUGCAGAAAAGCCGCGUGCGGGAUGACGGCCUUCGGGUUGUAAACCGCUUUCGCCUGUGACGAAGCGUGAGUGACGGUAAUGGGUAAAGAAGGACCGGCUAACUACGUG
RNAcentral lists this ribosomal RNA (468 nucleotides) under uncultured bacterium. RNAcentral describes it as "partial 16S ribosomal RNA". It matches the Rfam family "Bacterial small subunit ribosomal RNA", at positions 28 to 507 of the family's 1533-position model. The record is from RNAcentral.